AACGAACGCUGGCGGCAGGCCUAACACAUGCAAGUCGAGCGCAUCCUUCGGGGUGAGCGGCGGACGGGUUAGUAACGCGUGGGAAUGUACCCUUUUCUACGGAAUAGCCUCGGGAAACUGAGAUUAAUACCGUAUACGCCCGGUAACGGGGAAAGAUUUAUCGGAGAAGGAUCAGCCCGCGUAAGAUUAGAUAGUUGGUGGGGUAAUGGCCUACCAAGUCUACGAUCUUUAGCUGGUUUGAGAGGAUGAUCAGCAACACUGGGACUGAGACACGGCCCAGACUCCUACGGGAGGCAGCAGUGGGGAAUCUUAGACAAUGGGCGCAAGCCUGAUCUAGCCAUGCCGCGUGAGUGAAGAAGGCCUUAGGGUCGUAAAGCUCUUUCAGUGGGGAAGAU
This 395-nucleotide ribosomal RNA is filed under the name uncultured bacterium. Its description in RNAcentral is "bacterial SSU rRNA". It matches the Rfam family "Bacterial small subunit ribosomal RNA", at positions 29 to 449 of the family's 1533-position model. The record is from RNAcentral.